Cucumis sativus (cucumber) is the source of this 1024-nucleotide long non-coding RNA. RefSeq lists it as uncharacterized. NCBI's taxonomy places the organism in Eukaryota, Viridiplantae, Streptophyta, Magnoliopsida, Cucurbitales, Cucurbitaceae. The transcript has 2 exons. The record is from RefSeq and is a predicted model, not a curated record.
GGUGAUUUUAUUUGGCUAAAAGUAAAAGGAGAAUGGCGGGGGCUUAAUACGUGGUCACAGUAAGGUUUGUGGGUAGGGUGUUUUCUAUGAAACGACGACGUAGAAUGGGUAAUAUCAUUUACUUUAUUCUUGCCUUUUUUCUUUUUAUAUUACAAAUUUUUCUUUGACAUCCGUUGGAUUAAAAGAGGGACUUUUGUCGGAACUUUUUUAGAUCCUUAUCUGUAAAGUUGUUGCUAAGUUCUUCAAAUUUUCAGAUUUCAAAAUAAUUCGGCCCAUGGGCUUCCCUUCUUGCCCUACCUUCGAUGCGUUCCACCGACUACACUGCACUUCGUUUCUUUUGUCUUUAUUUAUUUUCAAGGGAUAUUUUUUAUAAAUUAGAAAUAUUGCAAGAAUAACUUUCAACAUUUUUAUUUUGUAAAUCUAGCCAAAUAUUCAAAUCAUAUACUUUCCGUUUUUAUGAAUUCCAAAUUUUCCAUUUUUUUUUGGGAUUUUCUUCUUCUUUUAGCACUUUUUUUUAGGGGCUUAGCAAAAAUAGUUAACUAAACUAAGCUCGUGUCUCUUGAAUUUUAAAAUUGUAUAAAACGCAAAUUUCAUCCCUCAUCAACUUCCUUCCUUCUUUCUCUUUCAAGCAUCUUCUUCUUUCCAACAUCCUUAGGUUUUCGAUUCGGUUACUUUUCUUCUCUUCUCCUUCGCAACAACUUCCGAACAUGAGUAUAGACCUUGAUGGAUCUUCUAUUUUCAAGCUGAACAAGAAAGUCAGCAGUCCCAGCCUUUGCUUUUUGUGAAGAGUAAGCAGCACUUUCCAGGUUCGUUGAUUCGACUGUGCAUGUCAAAAUUUAAAACCAAAAAGUUCAACAGUUCUAUCACUUGGCAAAGGAUGAAUGGAGUGAUAGUAGUAGAUCAUAGCUCUAGAAGAUUUACCCAUGUUUGAAAUAAGAGAGAUUUUGGUUUCCUUGUCAAAAAUGAAUACAGAACAUAAUAUUAAAACAUGAAUUCAGUGGCGUUAAAAAAAGUUUUAAAGACA